RNAcentral lists this unclassified non-coding RNA (359 nucleotides) under Hevea brasiliensis (rubber tree). Lineage: Eukaryota; Viridiplantae; Streptophyta; Magnoliopsida; Malpighiales; Euphorbiaceae. The record is from RNAcentral.
GAAGAAUUGAACUAAGAUAUUUAAAGUAAUUACUUUAGUACAGUACCACUCCAUCUAGGCUAACUCCUCCUUCCCUAUUACCUGUUCGGCCUUAACAAAGUGAUUAAAAUAAAGCAGACUAAAAUAAAAAUUUAAUAAAGUUGGCUCACAUGAAGGCAAACAACUCAGUACAAAAUUUAAACAAUUCACAAUCGAAUUACUCCAAAAAUUGAUCAUCAGCAAGGUAGCAAUUUUGAGUCUUAUGGAUAAAUGUUCCCAACCUAAAGAAAAUUUACCACUUAAAACAUAAUAGUGGUAAAUUACCAGACAAAAAGAGAAAAAGAAAAAUGAAACAAACCAUAUUUGCUCCCAAUAGAAGC